UGGGGAAUAUUGCACAAUGGGCGAAAGCCUGAUGCAGCGACGCCGCGUGAGGGAUGACGGCCUUCGGGUUGUAAACCUCUUUCAGUAGGGACGAAGCGCAAGUGACGGUACCUGCAGAAGAAGCACCGGCUAACUACGUGCCAGCAGCCGCGGUAAUACGUAGGGUGCAAGCGUUGUCCGGAAUUACUGGGCGUAAAGAGUUCGUAGGCGGUUUGUCGCGUCGUUUGUGAAAACCAGCAGCUCAACUGCUGGCUUGCAGGCGAUACGGGCAGACUUGAGUACUGCAGGGGAGACUGGAAUUCCUGGUGUAGCGGUGAAAUGAGCAGAUAUCAGGAGGAACACCGGUGGCGAAGGCGGGUCUCUGGGCAGUAACUGACGCUGAGGAACGAAAGCGUGGGUAGCGAACAGG
RNAcentral lists this ribosomal RNA (409 nucleotides) under bacterium. RNAcentral's name for it is "partial 16S ribosomal RNA". It matches the Rfam family "Bacterial small subunit ribosomal RNA", at positions 355 to 776 of the family's 1533-position model. The record is from RNAcentral.